RNAcentral lists this ribosomal RNA (497 nucleotides) under uncultured bacterium. RNAcentral describes it as "partial 16S ribosomal RNA". It matches the Rfam family "Bacterial small subunit ribosomal RNA", at positions 28 to 507 of the family's 1533-position model. The record is from RNAcentral.
GAUGAACGCUGGCGGCGUGCCUAAUACAUGCAAGUCGAGCGAACAGACGAGGAGCUUGCUCCUCUGACGUUAGCGGCGGACGGGUGAGUAACACGUGGAUAACCUACCUAUAAGACUGGGAUAACUUCGGGAAACCGGAGCUAAUACCGGAUAAUAUAUUGAACCGCAUGGUUCAAUAGUGAAAGACGGUUUUGCCGUCACUUAUAGAUGGAUCCGCGCCGCAUUAGCUAGUUGGUAAGGUAACGGCUUACCAAGGCAGCGAUGCGUAGCCGACCUGAGAGGCUGAUCGGCCACACUGGAACUGAGACACGGUCCAGACUCCUACGGGAGGCAGCAGUAGGGAAUCUUCCGCAAUGGGCGAAAGCCUGACGGAGCAACGCCGCGUGAGUGAUGAAGGUCUUCGGAUCGUAAAACUCUGUUAUUAGGGAAGAACAAAUGUGUAAGUAACUAUGCACGUAUUGACGGUACCUAAUCAGAAAGCCACGGCUAACUACGUG